GAUGAACGCUGGCGGCGUGCCUAAUACAUGCAAGUCGAGCGAACAGACGAGGAGCUUGCUCCUCUGACGUUAGCGGCGGACGGGUGAGUAACACGUGGAUAACCUACCUAUAAGACUGGGAUAACUUCGGGAAACCGGAGCUAAUACCGGAUAAUAUAUUGAACCGCAUGGUUCAAUAGUGAAAGACGGUUUUGCUGUCACCUAUAGAUGGAUCCGCGCCGCAUUAGCUAGUUGGUAAGGUAACGGCUUACCAAGGCAACGAUGCGUAGCCGACCUGAGAGGGUGAUCGGCCACACUGGGACUGAGACACGGUCCAGACUCCUACGGGAGGCAGCAGUAGGGAAUCUUCCGCAAUGGGCGAAAGCCUGACGGAGCAACGCCGCGUGAGUGAUGAAGGUCUUCGGAUCGUAAAACUCUGUUAUUAGGGAAGAACAAAUGUGUAAGUAACUAUGCACGUCUUGACGGUACCUAAUCAGAAAGCCACGGCUAACUACGUG
Molecule: ribosomal RNA, 497 nt
Filed under: uncultured bacterium
Lineage: Bacteria
Description: partial 16S ribosomal RNA
Rfam family: Bacterial small subunit ribosomal RNA
Source: RNAcentral